CAAGUUACCAAGUAACUUACUGUUGUGAAACGAUUCAUACUGCAAGCCGCCUAAAUGCAGGGCUUUUGAUGAUAUUCCCCGCCAACAAGGCAUGAAGGUGGGGCUUGCCUCCAUCUGGCUCUCCUGCCACUUUCAACAACACACCCCACAUCCGAUCCUGCUUAGAGUCGAAGAUGAAUCUGGCAUAAUACAAACAGCACUGGACUGGAAGCAUGAAGUUUCUCUUAUCUGUGCCUUGGUUUCCUCAUGUGGAAAAUGAAAAUGUUGACAUAAAUAAUCACACAGGCAACAGCAAUCAUAAUGGGCUUGGAGCACCAGUCCCACAACAUCACAGGACAUCCAGACAUAAUUGCAUUAAUAAUGUUGUGCAUAAUCGCACAACUCUCUGGUUAUUCAGCAUCGUCCAAUAUGUGAAUAAAGCUCUG
This 425-nucleotide long non-coding RNA is filed under the name Homo sapiens (human). RNAcentral's name for it is "non-protein coding lnc-NR2F2-6:4". The record is from RNAcentral. Lineage: Eukaryota; Metazoa; Chordata; Mammalia; Primates; Hominidae.